GAGCCUUGUUUAACCUCCAGCAGCCUGCUUGUUUGGGCUCUGGACUUCCCUCGAGGCAAGAUUU
This 64-nucleotide small RNA is filed under the name Euglena gracilis. Its description in RNAcentral is "Eg-p-Orphan7 AGAUGN box-like small RNA". The record is from RNAcentral. Lineage: Eukaryota; Euglenozoa; Euglenophyceae; Euglenales; Euglenaceae.